UUUAUCUCCUGCUGAAGAACAGCAGUAGGCUGGCUUUGGGCCUGAGAAUGAGAGAGAUGUUGGUUUUCAUCACCUUGAAGAAAGGUCUGUGGAGGCUGAGGCUGAGGCUGAGGCUGCUGCAACAUCUGAGGUGGCAUGAAAUUAGCAGGCCUGUUGGGAAGAUUUUGAGUUUGUUGGAAUUGAAGAAGCGAAGCAGCCUGCGCCUUAGCAGGAUCUACGGUUCUCAUCUCCUGUAGUGCAGCAGCAGCCAUUGCUUGAUAUAUCUCCGGCUGCAGACCGACCAUAGAAGCAUCAAGCCUUGGCUGCAUCCAUGGUGCAACUCCAAUUCCAGGGAAGUUCAG
This 341-nucleotide long non-coding RNA is filed under the name Cucumis sativus (cucumber). RNAcentral describes it as "long non-coding RNA (CSAT_LNC002558)". The record is from RNAcentral. Lineage: Eukaryota; Viridiplantae; Streptophyta; Magnoliopsida; Cucurbitales; Cucurbitaceae.